AGCUGCCUCAAAAUCACCUGAUUGAUAUUCUCGAUGUGCCAACUCAGCUAACCCUUGGAAGGAAAGCAUACGUUUCGUUGGUUCUGUGCUGUCGGCCACGUUGCCCACAGAAGACGCCAUCUGGAGCUUCUGGAGAGAGUGAGAAAAGGGGAUACUGGCACCAAACUUUCAAACAAUAAGAACCUUCCCAUAAGUCCCUUGCCAGGCAAGAUUAAGGUAUAACAAUCCAAACAGAUUUUAGAAGAAGAUAACUGGUUGAAAGCACAGGAAAAGAGCUGGGUUGCUCUUUUUCAACAGUCACAUAAUGAGUAAUGUGGGAAUUGGUUUACAAAGUCUCUCUCCAUGAGGGGCUAAGGUUAAGAUUAGAACUUCUGAGGCCAGAAGAGCAAAAUAACUACAACAACACACAUAUUUUCAAGAGCCGCCCUUUGGAUGUGAGGGAUUGAUUUUUCCCACGCUUUCUUCAGCAACCCAACUGGUGUCUUUAGUAAAUGACAUAAGAGAAUACAGUGUGGCCAAGAAGGCUUAGAUUUCCUUAGCCCCAAGUCAGAUAUUCUCAAGUGACUGUCCACUCAAAUUAAAAAGAGAAAUUUACAAGAGGAAACUGGAUACAACUGAGUGUACUUUUAUUUCAACCCUUUACCUGAAUGUUUUGUUUUGAUUUCAGUUCUCCACUGAAGUUGUCUACAUUAAUAUAUUUUUAAGAACAUUUCCUUAAGUUGAAGUAUUCAUUCAGUAUAUUCAUUUACUAUAAUUGAGAAAAGCCAAAUGACUUAGGCAAAUUCAUUUCUAUAUUGCCACAGCAGUGUAUUGUGAACUAAAUGACACCUGGCAGUUGUUUACUCAGAUACUAACUCAGUUAGAAGGCAGAACAAGGAUACCUACCCAUUCAGGGAAGGAAAGGUCACCUAGCCUCUGUAGCUGUCUUAGGUCUCUUAUCAUCACAGUAACAAACUGAAGCCUAAAAACCAUACGAUCAUCUCAAUAGAUGCAGAAAAAGCUUUUGAAAAAAUUCAAUAUCCAUUCAUGGUAAAAACUCUCCAGAAAGUGGGCAUAGAGGGAACAUACCUCAACAUAAUAAAGGCCAUAUAUGACAAGCCCAUAGCUAACAUACUCAAUGGUGAAAAGCUGAAAGCAUUUCCCCUAAGAUCAGGAACAAGACAAGGAUGCCCACUCUCACCACUUUUAUUGAACAGAGUUUUGGAAGUCCUAGCCACAGCAAUCAGACAAGAAAAAAUAAAUAAAUAAAAGGACUCCAAAAUGGAAAGGAAAAAGUAAAACUGUCACUGUUUGCAGAUGGCAUGAUACAUAGAAAAUCUGAAAGACACCAUCAAAAAACUAUUCGAGCUCAAACAUGAACUUGGUAAAUUUGCAGGAUACAACAGAUUUCUAUAUAUAAAUUUUGUAUUUCUAUACACUCACAGUGAACUAUCAGAAAGAGAAAUUAAGGAAACAAUCCCAUUUACAAUUGCAUAAAAAAGAAUAAAAUACAUAAGAAUAAACCUGCCUAAGGAGGUAAAAGACCUGUACCCAGGAAACUAUAUGACACUCAUAAAAGAAAUGAAAGAUGACACAAACAGCUGGAAAGAUAUACCAUGGUCACGGAUUGGAAGAAUUAAUAUUGUUAAAAUGACCAUCAUACCCAAGGAAAUCUACGCAUUCAAUGCAGUCUGUAUCAACAUAUCAAGGGCAUUUUCCACAGACCUAGAACAAAUAAUUUUAAAGUUUGUAUGGAAACACAAAAGAUCCUGAAUAGCUAAAACAGUCUUGAGAAAGAAGAACACAACUGGAGGAAUCAUGCUCCCUGGCUUCAGACUGUGCUACAAACCUACAGUAAUCAAAACAGUAUGGUACCGGCACAAAAACAUCCAUCACUGCAACAGAAUAGAGAGCCCAGAAAGAAACCCAUGCACUUAUGGUCAAUGAAUCUAUGACAAAGGAGGCAAGAAUAUGCAAUGGAGAAAAGUCUGGGCUUCCUUAGGGAUGGUUUCAUCAAUUAAUUUGUUUUCUUAAAUGGACCAUACUUUUCCAUGUCUUUGUAUACCUUGUGAGUUUUUUGGUUGAACAUUUGGCUUUCAAAUAUUGUAAUGUGGUGUCUAUGGAAAUCAGAUUCUCCCACUUUCCCAGGGUUUUCUGGGCUUUUGAUUUUUGAAGGCUGUAGUAGUCUGUUUGUUUAGGGACCUUUCCAAACUAGUUUUGCAAUGAGUGUACUCCUUAUCGUAUGUAGGCACUGAAGUCUCUGUUCCUUUAGUUCAUGUUUAGCUAAUGUUUUGACAGAGAUGUCCUUGAAUUCCUGCACCUAAGACAAACAAAAACAAAUAUACACAAGCACAUCCACAUGCACACUCAAAACCACACACCUCUCCCCAUUGUGCAGAUUGCUGGAUCACUCCUUCAACAUUUAGCUGACCUGCACUGAGUUCAGGGCUCAGCCCAUGGUAAAAGCUUAGAGACUCCUCUGGUGUUUUCAGAACAUGCAUCUUAUCUUGAGUAUGCAUGUGGCUUUCUUAAUUUCUCUGGACACAUGUGUACUUUUUGUAUGUUCUAAGUUCCCAAAGAAUCUCCCCCAACUUUUGCUCCUGCAUCUUAUGUGGUCUAUUGUAUUUCAAUGCACAGUCUUCUGCCCCAGCCAUCUGUGCUUUGUCAGUUCACCUUGCACUUUUUUUGAGCAAUGACCGCUGCUUUUCCAGACUGUGUUCCAGGUUAGCUAAGACAGAGAUAAGCAUCUUGUGUCAGUCCUUCAGGUAGCUCCCAGACAGGUUAGAACAGAUACACAUAAUAAUCCGAGAGUAUGGGCUCUUCUGCUCCCUCCUGAAGCAGGAUUGAGGGCCCCAUACUACGAAUGGUCUGCUGCUACUUUAAGACUAUCACUGCAUUAAGACCCCACCACUUUAAGACCAUCACUACACUAACAGUAGAUGGGGCAAGGGCAAGUAAAAAUGCCACAAAGCUUUCCUGCCAUUUUCAAAUUGCCUCUUCCCUGGUUCAGUAUGUGUUUGGUUGCUGUAAAUCUUUGCCUGAUUUCAGGACUAAGAGAAACUCAAGGAACGCCACAACAAGAAACAGUAUAAUCAGACUCUCAGAUGCCAAAAGACAGAGAAAGAAUCUUUACUCCCAAAGGAGAAAGAAAAAACAAAUUUGUUACAAAGCAGGGAUCCUCAAAAAGAUUCAUAGCUAAUUUCCUAUCUGAAACCAUGGAGGCAAGAGGCCAGACAUAUUUAAAGUGCUGAAAGAAAAAAACUGUCCACCAAGAAUUCUAUAUUUGGCCAAACUGGUUUCAAAACUUAGGGAGAAAUUAACACAUUCCCAGAUGAACAAAGGCUGAGGGCGUUUGUUUUACAACUUCCUAACACUGCCCUAUGACAAAUGCUAAAUUGAACCUUCAGGUUGAAAUGAAAGGACACUAGCCAGCAACUCGAAGCUGUAUAAAGAAAUAGAAAUCUCCAGUAAAGAUAAAUAUAUGGGCAGAUACUAAAGCCAGUAUUGUGCUACUGGCUUGUAACUCUACUUUUUAUUUCUUACAUGAUUGAAAAAACAAAUGCAUAAAAUAAUCAUAAAUCCAUGUUAUUGGGCUCACAAAGUAUAAAGGUGUAAUUUGUGACAACAAUAAUUUAAGGAGGAGGAAUGGAACUGUAGAGGAACAGAGUUUCUGUGUGCUAUUGAAGUUGGUUUCAAUUCAAAUGAUAUUGGUUGAACUUUAGAAGGGUGAAUGUAAUCUUCUUGAUAACCACAAAGAAAAUAUCAAUAGACUAUAUGCAAAAAGAAAUGAAAAAGGAAUCAAGAGUUCACUACAACAAAAUCGGCUAAGCACAGAAGAAGUCAGUAAUGGAGUAAAUGAAGGGCAAAAAUGCAUAAGACAUACAGAAAACAACCAGGAAACAGACAGAAUUAAGUUCUUCCUCAUCAGUAAUUUUUGAAAAAGUAAGUGGAUUAAGCUCUCCAAUAAAAAGAUAAAUAUUGGCAGAAUGGACUUUAAAAACAUCCAUAAUCCAAGUAUAUGCUGCCCGCAAAAAACUCACUUGAUUUCAAGAGACACAAGUUAGUUGAAAGUUAAAGCACAGAAUAAAAUAUCCCAUGCAAAUAGUAACAAAAAGAAAGAAAGAGAGAGAGAGAAAAAGAAAGGAAGGAAGGAAGAUAGAUCUGGGAUGGCUACGUUAAUAUCACACAAAAUAAACUUUAAAUCAAAAACUAUCACAAGAGGAAAAGGAGGCCACUAUAUGUUGAUAACAAGUUCAAUCUAUCAAGAAGAUAUAACAACUAUAAACAUAUAUGUACCAAACAAUCCCCAAAUAUGUGAAGCAGACAUUGACAGAAUUGAAGGAAGAAAUAGAUAGUUCUAAAAUCAUAGUUGGAGAUCAAUACCUUGCUUUCAAUAAUGGAUAACACAUCUAGACAGAAGAUCAGUAGAGAGGUAGGGGGACUGAAUAACACAUUUAACCAACUAAACCUAACAGCCAUAUAUAGAUCACUCCACUCAACAACAGCAGAAUACACAUUUUUCUCAAGUACACAUGGAACAUUCUCCAGGAAAGACCAUAUGUUACGCCACAAUACAAGUACCAAUACAUUGUUAAGAAACUGAAAUCAUACAAAGUAUCUUCUUUAGCCACAGUGAAAGGAAGGUAGAAAUCAAUAACAGAACCAUUGGUAGCCAUUUCCCAUCAUGCCUGCCACACAUGAUAUAAAGCAAUGAAGGGAAAAACAUAAUUGACCAUUUAGAAAAGUGGGAAAGAGGACAUAUCAUUGACACAGAGUGUGUGCUGUUUCCCGUUGUCAGAGAUAGAAAUAAAUUAGCAUCAUUUAUUCAUUAGUGUGUUAAUUUCUUGGUCAAUCAUUGCGCAGCCAGUGUUUCUGCCUGAUGGGAAGAUUUCCUAUACUCAGUGUUGAGUGGAGACAACCUUGAAAGGGACAUUUAAAAGGAUUAUACUGUGAUGGGCUUAGCAGUACCCUUCCUCCUAUGCCAGUAGGCGGCUGGGGUAUUUCCAUGCAGUGUGUACAACCGUAGGCCCCAGGUCACCAGAAUUUAGUUGGAUUCGUUUUGUUAAUACAUUCCCUCAGUACUUUGUCUUUUAUUUGACUGGUGCAUUUACUUCAUUCUUUAUUAUCACUGCGAAACAACUUUGUUUCCUGUUCAGAUGCCAAAAAGUGGAUAUCAAUACCUCCUGAGUUUUACACAUCACAGGUCUGUUUUACAUAUCAGAGACAGAGACAGCAACUAUUUCCAAUGACUUUGAGACAUGCUUUGAAAAUGUGAUUAACACGUGGAGUGUUGAAAUGUGUGUCGAGCUCAUUAUACUUGCUCUAAAAGGUUUCAAACUGCAAAGAUUUAAAAAUCUUUAUCUUUGAAUAGUUUUCCUGUGCUGUCCCUUUGUGUCAGACUGUUAAUGUGCAGUCUGGCACCUUCAAAUAACAUGGCUUUGUAACCAAUUAUUUACAUGUUGUUUUAUCCACAGAGAAUCUUUUUUUUAAUAAAUUUAUUUAUUUUUGGCUGUGUUGGGUCUUUGUUGCUGCACAUGGGCUUUCUCUAGUUGGGGCGAGUGGGGGCUACUCUACAUUGUGGUGUGCGGGCUCCUCAUUGCUGUGGCUUCUCUCGUUGCGGAGCACGGGCUCUAGGCGCUAGGGUUUCAGUAGUUGUGGCACGCGGGCUUCAGUAGUUGUGGCUCAGUGGCCCUAGAGCACAGGCUCAGUAGUUGUGGCGCACGGGCUUAGUUGCUCCGCGGCAUGUGGGAUCUUCCCAGACCAGGGCCCGAACCCAUGUCCCCUACACUGGCAGGAGGAUUCCCAACCACUGUGCCACCAGGGAAGUCCCCA
Molecule: long non-coding RNA, 5811 nt
Organism: Orcinus orca (killer whale)
Lineage: Eukaryota; Metazoa; Chordata; Mammalia; Artiodactyla; Delphinidae
Exons: 3
Source: RefSeq, a predicted model, not a curated record